AUUGAACGCUGGCGGCAGGCUUAACACAUGCAAGUCGAGCGGAAGAAGGGAGCUUGCUCCUGGAUUCAGCGGCGGACGGGUGAGUAACGCCUAGGAAUCUGCCUGGUAGUGGGGGAUAACGUCUGGAAAAGGGCGCUAAUUCCGCAUACGUCCUGUGGGAGAAAGUGGGGGAUCUUCGGACUUGACGCUAUAAGAUGAGAGUAGGUCGGAUUAGCUAGUUGGUGGGGUAAAGGCCUUUCAAGGCGACGAUCCGUAAAUGGUCUGAGAGGAUGAUCAGUCACACUGGAACUGAGACACGAUCCAGACUCCUACGGGAGGCAGCAGUGGGGAAUAUUGGACAAUGGGCGAAAGCCUAAUCCAGCCGUGCCGCGUGUGUGAAGAAGGUCUGCGGGUGGUAAAGCACUUUAAGUUGGGAGGUAGUUCAGUAAGUUAAUACCUUGCUGUUUUGACGUUACCAGCAGAAUAAGCACCGGCUAACUUCGUG
Molecule: ribosomal RNA, 484 nt
Filed under: uncultured bacterium
Lineage: Bacteria
Description: partial 16S ribosomal RNA
Rfam family: Bacterial small subunit ribosomal RNA
Source: RNAcentral